CUGCUGUCCAGAGCGAGCUCCUUCAAGCAGGAGACCAUGCAGCAUCUGCUCAAGGAGCGGUACAAGCAAGCGGCCGUGGUGCCGGAGCUCGCCGCAGCUCCAGCCUCCGUGGGUUAUGAAUCGUUGGCAUUUUCUCCUUGUUUCUUUACCCUCCUUAUGAAUAAAUGAUCAGUACUGCUAGAACAUGCUGUUCGCUAUUUGGCCGUCUGCUCACAAGGAAGCGAGGAGUGAGGAAUGAGAAAUGCGAGUACGGCCCGUGUUAUUUUUGCGAAUAGUCUUGAUUGAAGAACGUCUCGCUGUUUCUAACGAGAUGUUAACAGCUCAAAAGCACAGUAAAGUACAGGGCCUUCACGCAGUGACAGGAUCCAAAGUAUAAAACUGGGAUAGUUGUCUGUCUGUACACACACGUAGAUGCGGACGGAGGACAGCUGGCAGCGUAGCGGUUGCUGCCUUUGGACCCAAAGGUCGCAGGUUCGAGCUCCGGCUGUAGUACCCUUGAGCAAGGUACUUACUCUAACUUGCUCCGGUAAAAUUGCCCAGCUGUAUAAAUGGGUAAAUAAUUGUAACCUCGGCACUGUAAGUCGCUUUGGAGAAAAGCAUCUGCUAAAUGUGUGCGUGUGACGGGCCAAGUGUUUUUUUAACCUGUUCUCUUCCUUUUUGUCUUUACACAAAGGUGAAUAUUACAAGCGCAAAAACUGCACCUCAUUUUAAGUCCAUUCUAGAGCAAAUGGAGGACUAUUUGCAGCCCGUUCUUUCGCAGUUAGACUUUCCGUGUUCGAGACUGGAGACUCCAUCGAUCUCCGUCCCGGACUCCACCAGGAUUAAAGACAAGGAGGAGAAAUCGGGCCCCGACAGAGGUCCACCUGGUGCGUACCAGUCCAGAGGCCCAGUGCUUUUUGGGUUUACUGGGCAGGGAAGGAUCAAUGUAUGGUAUAGAUCGUGAGGAAUUGAUGAGCAGCACUUCUGUUUCACAUCCAUUCUCACAAUUCCAAACUGCUGCUGCUCGUAAAACCUUGCACUUUAUUCCUAAUGCCAGAUGUUAGCAUGCAUGCAUUUUGUGCUCCACUGUCUUCCUUACACCACAUAUUUCCUUUUCGUGUAGGAAUCGCUUGAUCAGCGUAUCGAGUGCCUUUGCAGUUGAGCGGCAAUUUUAGACAAAUCUGGUACUUAUUCAGUCGUAGCUGGUGAAACUGUUGAGGGCAAUUUUAUCUGUACACUUAAUGUGUAAAAAGGGUCAAAGGCCAGACCGUUCUGUAUUGAGAUGAAUUCGUUGAAUUGAAUUUGAUACUGAAUUUGUCUUUACUGAAGCUUAUUAUUGUCGUUAAUGUUACUGAUGAUGAUUACAGUUGCAGCCCAAGUACAUAUCCUAUCCAGUGGACCUUCAGUUAUUUAGUGUGGUGCAAGUGUUGAAUAUUGGCAAGAGCAACGAUAUAAAACUGUUAAAUUAACUAAAUAAAUGCAUCACUAGUUUGGAAGCA
RNAcentral lists this long non-coding RNA (1478 nucleotides) under Scleropages formosus (Asian bonytongue). Its description in RNAcentral is "lncRNA (ENSSFOG00015028033.1)". Lineage: Eukaryota; Metazoa; Chordata; Actinopteri; Osteoglossiformes; Osteoglossidae. The record is from RNAcentral.